CCUACGGGAGGCAGCAGUCGAGAAUCAUUCACAAUGGGGGAAACCCUGAUGGUGCGACGCCGCGUGGGGGAAUGAAGGUCUUCGGAUUGUAAACCCCUGUCAUGUGGGAGCAAAUUAAAAAGAUAGUACCACAAGAGGAAGAGACGGCUAACUCUGUGCCGGCAGCAGCGGUAAUACAGAGGUCUCAAGCGUUGUUCGGAAUCACUGGGCGUAAAGCGUGCGUAGGCUGUUUCGUAAGUCGUGUGUGAAAGGCGCGGGCUCAACCCGCGGACGGCACAUGAUACUGCGAGACUAGAGUAAUGGAGGGGGAACCGGAAUUCUCGGUGGAGCAGUGAAAUGCGGAGAUAUCGAGAGGAACACUCGUGGCGAAGGCGGGUUCCUGGACAUUAACUGACGCUGAGGCACGAAGGCCAGGGGAGCGAAAGGGAUUAGAUACCCCUGUAGUC
This 446-nucleotide ribosomal RNA is filed under the name uncultured bacterium. Its description in RNAcentral is "partial 16S ribosomal RNA". It matches the Rfam family "Bacterial small subunit ribosomal RNA", at positions 338 to 795 of the family's 1533-position model. The record is from RNAcentral.